Molecule: long non-coding RNA, 253 nt
Filed under: Ananas comosus (pineapple)
Lineage: Eukaryota; Viridiplantae; Streptophyta; Magnoliopsida; Poales; Bromeliaceae
Description: long non-coding RNA (ACOM_LNC019033)
Source: RNAcentral
CCUUCUUCCAUAGCGAGCCAUCAAUCCAAGUUCCGGCAAUCUUGGAAAUUUGAUGAGGCUCGAGAUCAACAUAUUCCAACUUGAACUCAGCUUGAGCAGACGCUUGGUAAAUUUGAGAUGAGCAGAGCUCAUCCCAGCUCGCUCCAGCUGAACUAGUUUACACCCCUAACUGCAACAGAAAGCAGCUUGAAUAAUAGGUCUUCCCCUGCUAUUCGAUUAUCGAAGAAGCGUAGCUUGUGCGGGAAGCAUGCUU